AAGGAGGAGUAGGUGGAGCUCAGAGGAUCUUUGGGGCAGUGAAACUACUCUGUAUGAUACAGUAAUGUUGGGUACAUGUCAUUAUGCAUCUGUCCAAACCCAUAGAAUAUACACCAAGAGUGAACCCUCACAUAUACUAUCGACUUUGGGUGUAGUGCUGUGUCAAUGUAGGUUCU
Long non-coding RNA from Sapajus apella (tufted capuchin), 176 nucleotides. RefSeq lists it as uncharacterized. The record is from RefSeq and is a predicted model, not a curated record. The transcript has 3 exons. Lineage: Eukaryota; Metazoa; Chordata; Mammalia; Primates; Cebidae.